Molecule: long non-coding RNA, 902 nt
Filed under: Homo sapiens (human)
Lineage: Eukaryota; Metazoa; Chordata; Mammalia; Primates; Hominidae
Description: HSALNT0359683
Source: RNAcentral
GCCCAGACGACCCAUGGCUAGGGUAAAGCUGGUGCUGUCCUAGAAAUUGGGUCUCCCCUCCCAGAUCCAGGCUGCCUCCUGCAGGCUGCAGACUCUGACAUCCAGCCAUCUCAAUAUUCCAGAGAAGAGGAUGAGUGUGAAGGGUGGUGGCGAUUUUAAACAAGGUGAUCAGGAAGACCUUGUGGAUAACUUCGGGUCUGAGCACACUCCAUCAGGGUUUCCGUAGCAACCAGAGGACUUCACAGGAGAGAGUGAAGGGGAAUUAAGAGCCAGAGAGAGCAGAGGAGAGAGGAGGAGUCCGGAAGAUGCCUGGCUUGGGACCCGAGAGUGGCAGAAUAGCAAAGCCUGCAGCAGCCACAGCACUGUGGUCCUGAGACCCAGGCCAACUUCCUAGAGGACUGGUCGGUGACUUCAGAGGGUAGGGGUGGCCUGGGCCAACACCCAAUUCCAGCUGUCCCUCUGCCCCCAUACAUGCAGCCCCCCGAAAACCCAGAUUCCAAAACCACCUUCUUGGACUCUUCCCUGUUUCUAGCUUCUGACAUUCAAUCAUCUCAAUAUGACAAAUAUCACCAAGUCCUGCAGAAUAUUUCUUCACAAAGAACUGCCCCCUGUCCCAUCAUAAAGACACCUGGGCCACCCCAUGCUCUUCCAACCCAUCUCCCUGCCCAGUCUCUCCCUGGGCUUUUUCUAUACCCUCCCCCUCCCGCCCUCUGCAAGGAGCCCUUGGUAAUGAAGAGCAAACUCAUAAAACAUUCAUCCUGGGUAAUACACCAUGUAGGAGCUGCCUGAUCUCAGUUCUGAUAGAACAGGCCAGGUCAGCAGGACGCUGGGGCUUAGGCUUCUGAGGGUUUGGGCUGACUUCUCUACCUUGGGCUCAAGUUCCAGCCACUUCCCUUAAGGCA